AUUGAACGCUGGCGGCAUGAUUUACACAUGCAAGUCGAACGGUAACAGGCCGCAAGGUGCUGACGAGUGGCGAACGGGUGAGUAAUGCAUCGGAACGUGCCCAGUCGUGGGGGAUAACUACUCGAAAGAGUAGCUAAUACCGCAUACGAUCUAUGGAUGAAAGCGGGGGACCGUAAGGCCUCGCGCGAUUGGAGCGGUCGAUGUCAGAUUAGGUAGUUGGUGGGGUAAAGGCUCACCAAGCCAACGAUCUGUAGCUGGUCUGAGAGGACGACCAGCCACACUGGGACUGAGACACGGCCCAGACUCCUACGGGAGGCAGCAGUGGGGAAUUUUGGACAAAGGGCGCAAGCCUGAUCCAGCAAUGCCGCGUGCAGGAAGAAGGCCUUCGGGUUGUAAACUGCUUUUGUACGGAACGAAACGGCUCUGGUUAAUACCCGGGGCUAAUGACGGUACCGUAAGAAUAAGCACCGGCUAACUACGUG
This 482-nucleotide ribosomal RNA is filed under the name uncultured bacterium. Its description in RNAcentral is "partial 16S ribosomal RNA". It matches the Rfam family "Bacterial small subunit ribosomal RNA", at positions 30 to 507 of the family's 1533-position model. The record is from RNAcentral.